GGAAAAAACAUUUCCUCACCUACAGCCAGCCACUUGUGGAUGCGGUUAUGGUAUUGAACACAUCUUUAAUUCUAAUGUAUGAACCUUCCAUCAUCUUACUUGAGUAAAAAAUAUUUUUUUUCCAAGUUUUAGCCUUCAAACCCACAAAUCUCAGCAUCAAGUACCACAUAAGUUUUCAAUAUUGGGCAGUGGGUAGAACCUGAUGUUUUUGCUUGCUGUUUAACAUUUGCUGCACUGCUGUUUCUUUAAAAUGCUGCAACAGCUACUUAAUUUCUCCAGUAUUACAUUGGUUGAGCUUUUAUUUAUUUAUUUAUUUAUUUGGGAGGUAUUAAUUUAUUUUGAAGAGGUUAUUGUUUUUUAUUACUAAUGAUAUCUAUAUUUCUUCUUCUUCUUUACAUGGUGGAAGGUGUGCCACACCUCAGCGGCACAGCACUAACUCUGGGCACCUGCCCUGGCUGUGUCACAGCAGACAGAACAUUGGAGGUGUCCGUGUCACAAAGAGUGGCAUGGGCUGCCCAGGAUGGGUAUAAGAAGGGCUGCUGGCAGUGCUGACGUCAGAAGAGCAGCUGGGCCACUCAUUAUUCCAGCAAAAUGAACUUCCUUACAAGACAGACAAAUGGAGCGUACUGUGAAGUUACGUGCAAGGACCUGUGGUUUUCCAGAUAAGGAACAUACUGCACGACAGCCAGGUGACCUGCAUUUACAGCUGAAGACAAAACGCCAAGCCAACAGGGAAUUGCAUCUAACAUACAGACACAGAAGGGGGGCUACUCAGAUGGACCAUGCUUUUUAAAAGGGAAACCUGAGCAGGAGCAGCUGCAUGGGGACAGUUUUUCCUGCUGCCAUACAUAAGAAACAAACCAGAUCAAUACUUAAUUUCCAAGGAUUACCUUUGAUUGACAAUACCCAUUUUGUAAGUGCCUGUCCCAUUGCUGUCCUGGGUCCUAGCAAAGGAACUGACUGCUCCAAGAUACGUCUUCUGUUCAGAACUAAAAGAUUUUUGCUCUAUUUACAAUUUUAAGGCAAGUCUUUUUUCAUAAAUACUAGACUUGCCUGUUUAGAGGUUUGACAUUUUAUUGACAGCCAUACAAGUUAGAUUAUGCAGAUGGAACAGACGCUGCCAUUUUUAGGUAUAAUUAACAUUUCAUUUCCUUUCAAACAAUUUCCCCCAUCAUGUUCAGCACUAUCCGGGCAAUGGGAAUGUUCAAAAGAACACUCCACUGCAGGUUUGUGUUAUUUAAAAACAACAACAAAACACAAACAAACAAACAAACAAAACUAGAAACCACACAGCUUAUUUUUUGAACUCAAGAACUGAAGUUGUUUUUUUUUUCUUUAAUAUCGAUGUUCUACCAUUGAGUUAAUACCAGGUAA
This 1374-nucleotide long non-coding RNA is filed under the name Anser brachyrhynchus (Pink-footed goose). Its description in RNAcentral is "lncRNA (ENSABRG00000004969.1)". The record is from RNAcentral. Lineage: Eukaryota; Metazoa; Chordata; Aves; Anseriformes; Anatidae.